Populus euphratica (Euphrates poplar) is the source of this 454-nucleotide long non-coding RNA. RefSeq lists it as uncharacterized. The transcript is spliced from 3 exons. NCBI's taxonomy places the organism in Eukaryota, Viridiplantae, Streptophyta, Magnoliopsida, Malpighiales, Salicaceae. The record is from RefSeq and is a predicted model, not a curated record.
GAGGGGCAAGGCCUAGAACCAUCGGGUUCGGUGCAUGACAAGAAAGAAAGCUAUUAUGGUGGAACCCCCUCCGAGCAUUUUAUCUCACUAGCUGCACCUAGUCACCAUCAAAGAAUACCCGCAAAAAUACAAAACCCAGGUCUCAAGUCUCAAGCGCGAGAGUAAUAACGUCAACUGCCCAGUUUAGAAAACCCAAGUAUCUGGUCUUUCCCUAAUCUCUCUCUCAAUCUGUAUCCAAACAAAACGCACGCGUUUCGGUGUUGAUUGUUCUGCAUCUCUCUCUCUCUCUCUCUCAGGUGAAUACGGAAGGAAGAAUCAGUGAACUCCUCUCCAACUUCCGGACGUAUACCAUACACGAUACACCCACACAUACACUCACUUUGUAUGGAUGUCUGUUCCAUAUCUCCGUAGUUCAGGCUUCCAGUGCAUGCUUGGAAAUUUUUGAGAGAGAGUG